This 496-nucleotide ribosomal RNA is filed under the name uncultured bacterium. RNAcentral's name for it is "partial 16S ribosomal RNA". It matches the Rfam family "Bacterial small subunit ribosomal RNA", at positions 29 to 507 of the family's 1533-position model. The record is from RNAcentral.
AUGAACGCUGGCGGCGUGCCUAAUACAUGCAAGUCGAGCGAACAGAUAAGGAGCUUGCUCCUUUGACGUUAGCGGCGGACGGGUGAAUAACACGUGGGUAACCUACCUAUAAGACUGGAAUAACUCCGGGAAACCGGGGCUAAUGCCGGAUAACAUUUAGAACCGCAUGGUUCUAAAGUGAAAGAUGGUUUUGCUAUCACUUAUAGAUGGACCCGCGCCGUAUUAGCUAGUUGGUAAGGUAACGGCUUACCAAGGCAACGAUACGUAGCCGACCUGAGAGGGUGAUCGGCCACACUGGAACUGAGACACGGUCCAGACUCCUACGGGAGGCAGCAGUAGGGAAUCUUCCGCAAAGGGCGAAAGCCUGACGGAGCAACGCCGCGUGAGUGAUGAAGGUCUUCGGAUCGUAAAACUCUGUUAUUAGGGAAGAACAAAUGUGUAAGUAACUGUGCACGUCUUGACGGUACCUAAUCAGAAAGCCACGGCUAACUACGUG